AGCACUGUGUAUGUGUCUUUGUUGAACUGGUGGACAGACUUAAAGACAGGUAUAAAAGUAAAUCCUCUUUUGCAAGCAAUAGCUCAUUUUGAAUAUGAGUUUUGAUGCGUAUAAAAGAAACAUG
Jaculus jaculus (lesser Egyptian jerboa) is the source of this 124-nucleotide small nucleolar RNA. RefSeq annotates it as small nucleolar RNA SNORA40. The transcript has a single exon. NCBI's taxonomy places the organism in Eukaryota, Metazoa, Chordata, Mammalia, Rodentia, Dipodidae. The record is from RefSeq and is a predicted model, not a curated record.